AGGUCCCCCUCUGUCACCCAGGCUGGAAUGCAGUGGCGCAGUCUCGGCUCACUGCAAGCUCCAUUUCCUGGGCUCAAGCGAUCCUCCCACCUCAGCCCCCAAAGUAACUGGGAUUACAGGCGCUCAUCACCAUGCCCGGCUAAUUUUUGUAUUUUUUGUAGAGAUGAGGUUACGCCAUGUUGCCCAGUCGAAUUUUUGAGCUCAAGUGAUCCAACAGCCUCAGUCUCCCAAAAUACUGGGAUUACAGGCAUGAGUCACCACGCUCAGCCUUGUUUUGUUUUGUUUUGUUUUGUUUUGUUUUGUUUUUGAAACCGGGUCUUGCUGUGUCUUGAUCACAGCUCACUGCAGUCUUAACCUCCCAGGCUCAAGCGAGCCUUCUGCCUCAGCCUCCCAGGUAGGCUGGACCACAGCUAUAUGCCAUCAUGCCAGCUAAUUUUUUUAUUUUUGGUAGACACGGGGUCUUGCUAUGCUGCCCAGGCUGGUCUCAAACUCCUGGGCUCACCUGAUCCUCCUGUCUCGGCCUCCCAAAGUGCUGGGAUUACAGGUAUGAACCACUGUGCCUGGCCCCACCCUGCACUUUGAAAGAGCACAGAGUGGGGUCAGGGCCUGGCCUGUGGGCAUUAGGGCAGGUGUUUCACCGGGUUCUUGUUGACCCAUGCCAUGAGAUGGCCUCAGUCAUGCCAGUCCUCACCUUCUGGGCCCAGGGUCCUCUUCAUGGCUGUGUAACCUUGGGCAAGUGGCUGAACCUCCCGGGCCUCAUUUAUAAAACAGGCAUCAUAACAGAACUGCAGCUUGUGGCAGGAAUCACUAGAUUAAGGCACGCAAAGGGCUCAGUGCAUUUGCCCAAACCUAGCCUUUGGUUGACGUCCAUAGCUUCAAUUCGUAUAAGGAAAAUAUGGGGGCUACAGAAGGUGGGGUCAUAGACCGUGGGGUUGCCCAAGCCAGGGGCGCUGUUGUCCAUGUUUCAGCAAAACAGAUGUAUUUUUCUCUGGGCGACAAAACUCAUCCUAAAUGCGACUGAGGGCCCUGUAAUGUCCCAGGACAGCUUGACCGCUGGGGUGGGUCCCCUUCCACUGUCCCAGGCUGGGGCGCUGCGUCUGGGCUGCCCUUGGCACCAUCCACUCCUCUCUCGCCCACAGUCAAGUACGACCUUAACAACCCGGCCAAGCACGCCAAGCUGGACUUCCUCAACAACCUGGCCACGGGCCUGGUGUUCAUCAUCGUGGUAGUCAACAUCUUCAUCACGGCCUUCGGGGUCCAGAAGCCCUUGAUGGACAUGGCACCCCAGCAGUAGGACACCCAGGACCCUGGAUGCUGCCUGCCCUGCAACUCAGCUGCCCGACCCCAGGAGUCGCCAUACCUGUGAGGUGUCCACCUCCCUGCACAUGGCACUACCCAGACUGCCAGAGCCCAGGCUGGCCUCAUCUGCACCAUGUCCCCGGACCAGCCCUUGCUCUGACUGUGGCCAAGCACCACGCAGGAGGCCACUCUUGUCUCUCAGCAGCUGUUCCCAGGAGGCAGCUCCCUCCUGGCACAUGGGGGCUGGCCACAAUAACCCAGAGGGUCAGAACUGGACAGCUGCAGAGACCUGUGCCCAGAGAAGGGUCUCAACCCACUCAAGGACACACAGCAGGUCCGUGGAUGGGCUGGAUGAGUGACCAGGGCCAGCCUCUGUCUCAGGACAUUCCAGAAGGACAAGGAGAUGUCUCUCCCUCUCCCAAAGCACCAGCGUCCCUGCCUCCCAUGGGCCCUGUCUGGGUUGCCCUGGUGACCCCAGCCUCUGUCCACUUCCUAACCCAGGGACCCUGCACAGCCAGAACUGCCUUUGGCCCUACGGAUGGCCACUGGCUCUGGUCUUAAGUGCCUGGGCUUGGUGGCCAUCAAGAGGGAGCCAGUCAGGCCUGUGAGGGCCGUAGACCUUGUAUAUACCCUGCACCAGCAGUGACCGGGCAGAGCCCAGCCCCCUCCACGGGGGUCCCAGCACCCACUUUUCUAAUCAUGAAUGAACAAUAAAGCCCAUGCUCUUUGUCGGGCUCC
This 2037-nucleotide small RNA is filed under the name Pan troglodytes (chimpanzee). Its description in RNAcentral is "processed transcript". The record is from RNAcentral. Lineage: Eukaryota; Metazoa; Chordata; Mammalia; Primates; Hominidae.